GCCACCGCGCCUCAGUUCUUAGACACUCGUUAGUGGGAGAAAUGUUUAAAUAUAAUAUUUUAUUUUAACAGAUAACGAAACUUUUUUAAUAUUUCUAAAAUAGUUAUAGUAAUAUAAGUGCAUUCAGUAACAAUCAAAUUUCUAUUACUACAGAACAAGAUCUACAAAAAGCCCAAAGUGAUACUCGAAGUCCAGAGGAAGAACUUUACUUUGAUUUUCGGUCGUCUUAUGUCUAAUGAAUAUAUUUUCUUUCUUCUUUUAUCAAGAGCCAUCGAGAAGAACCACACAGAAAAAUUCUACACCUCAUUUAGUGCUCACUUUUUAUUGUAUAGGAUAUUUUUCACUGUUUGCUAAAAAUGUUCGACGAAUUCAGAAUUAUUUUUUUCUGAUGUACUUCAAAAAUAAGUAUUGUAAAUUAUUUAGACAGGAAGUUUAAAACUAAUGGUAAUAAGAUAAUAUUAGCUAGGAAAUUAGAAAAAUAAUAUUUAAAAGCACUUAAAAGAAAAGAAAAAAUUUCUUUUAAAGAAAUUUAAAUUAGGCGACUUCAAGAAUCAGCAUCAACUUCAUGGAAACACUUUUUUCAUCAAGAAUGAGGGAGGCAUGCUCUUUUUUUAAGAGGCAUCGGUGAGAGAACGAAAGCGGAACAGUGUGGCCCAAGAAGACAUCGAAUUGUGUUCGAAAUUUAACUGCAGAUCUGCGAAACGUGUAGUGCUUAGCUUUCGGUGUAGUAGAAUAUUUUUCGUCGACUGAUAUUUGUUGUCAAUUAUUUAGUUAGGAAUUUUCGAAACCAAAAAUAUGAUUAUAUUUUAGCUAGGCAAUUAUUAAAGUAAGUUCUUAGUUUUAAGGAAAAAAAAUUUUUAUUUCUCAAGAGACUUCAAGAUCCAGC
Leptopilina heterotoma is the source of this 886-nucleotide long non-coding RNA. RefSeq lists it as uncharacterized. NCBI's taxonomy places the organism in Eukaryota, Metazoa, Arthropoda, Insecta, Hymenoptera, Figitidae. The record is from RefSeq and is a predicted model, not a curated record. The transcript is spliced from 3 exons.